Molecule: RNA transcript, 4874 nt
Organism: Drosophila innubila
Lineage: Eukaryota; Metazoa; Arthropoda; Insecta; Diptera; Drosophilidae
Gene: roq
Gene name: roquin-1
Exons: 4
Source: RefSeq, a predicted model, not a curated record
CAUGCCGAUUCAGGCGCCCUCAUGGACAGACUUUCUGAACUGUCCCAUCUGCUGCAAUGAGUUUGCAGCCAGUCAGCGUGUACCAAUCAGUCUGGGAUGUGGUCACACGAUAUGCAAGCUAUGCCUGACCACCCUCUACAAUCGCCAGUGUCCCUUCGAUCAGACGCUGAUUGUCACGGAAAUCGACAACUUGCCCAUUAAUUAUGCGCUGCUGCAGCUGGUGGGCAAUGGAAGUGGAGGUGGAGGUGGAGGAGGAGGAGGAGGAGGAGGAGGAGGAGGAGGAGGUACCGUUGUGGCAGGUACAGGCAAAGGUGUGUCCACAAAGGAUUCAGAUUUGGCAGAUAUUGCACCAAGUGUUUUAAAGCUACAACCCGAACAUCUCAAGUGCUAUAAGCUUGGCAAGAAAUGCAUCGAAGAUCUGGCGUUGCAUCUGAAAUCAUUUCUCAACUUGAACAGCAGCAAUAUGCUGACCAGACCCAUGCAACGCAAGCUGGUCACCUUGGUCAACUGCCAGCUGAUGGAGGAGGAGGGCCGAGUGCGGGCACUGCGAGCAGCCCGCUCCUUGGGCGAACGUACCGUCACUGAACUGAUAUUACAACAUCAGAAUCCGCAGCAGCUAAGCUCCAAUCUGUGGGCAGCGGUGCGUACACGUGGCUGCCAGUUCCUAGGCCCCGCCAUGCAGGAGGAGGUGCUGAAGCUUGUGCUGCUGGCCCUGGAGGAGGGCUCUGCAUUGUCGCGCAAGGUACUGGUCAUGUUUGUGGUGCAACGACUGGAGCCGCACUUUCCACAAGCUUCCAAGACGAGCAUUGGCCAUGUGGUGCAGUUGCUCUAUCGCGCCAGUUGCUUCAAGGUGUCCAAACGUGAAGCGGACUCCUCACUGAUGCAGCUGAAGGAGGAAUUUCGCACCUAUGAUGCAUUGCGGCGGGAACACGAUGCACAAAUCGUGCAGAUUGCCACUGAGGCGGGCUUACGGAUUGCCCCAGAGCAGUGGUCGUCCCUGCUCUAUGGAGACAUUGCACACAAGUCGCACAUGCAGAGCAUCAUUGACAAGUUGCAGACGCCUUCAUCGUUUGCCCAGUCAGUGCAGGAAUUGGUCAUUGCGUUGCAGCGCACAAGUGAUCCUGCGAAGCUAUCGCAGCUGCACAAUCAUCUGCAGUAUUUGGCCAGCAUUGAUCCGUGCGUUGAGGCAGCUCCCUGGGAGGAUGUAUCCAAGGCGCUGGACGCCGUGCGGCAUGCGGUCAUGGGUCUGGUUCACUUCCUGCAACACCAUGGCGUGCGGAAGCCACAGGACAGCAGUCUCGCCAGUGGAGCAACCAACACCAACAACACCAAGUAUAAGAUAAGUCUGUGCCGUGAUCUGAACGUGCGUCGCGUGUGUCCACGUGGCGCCAGUUGCACAUUUGCCCACUCACAGGAGGAGGUGGAACGCUAUCGUGCCCGCAACCGGGGGAAACACAUCAAAUCCCCAAUGCCCAUGGCAAUGCCAAGUAUUCCAGCUAAUGGCAAGAAGCCGCUGCCCAUGGCCAAUGAGGUGCCAUCACACGCUGGCGGCCCCAUGAUGCCCAUAUCGCCCAUACGCUAUAUGCAAGCACCAGCACCACCGCAUCGGGGCUACCUGGAGCCGCUGCCUCCAACCGCACACAGUCUUUCACCCAGCGGAGUACAUUCUCAGAUGAUGCAUCCACAUCAUAGUCCCAUUGCCCGGCAGCAGCAACAACAACAGCAGCAUACGGGACUCAACGGGCUGCUGGUGGCACCACCACCACCACCAGGACGCUAUGAGCCACGCUUUAACUUUGGCCCGACGCCGGCACAGCCGAGAAAUCCAGCACGAGGAGAGUAUCCAGGUAACUCCAGUGCAGCACCACAGCGUAACCCACCGAACUUCAACAACAGCAAUAGUAAUCUACACAAUCAUGGCAAGAGCUUCUGCAGCAUGCUUCCAGCGGAUGUCUAUCAUUCGCCAUUCUUUGGUAACACAAACACAAACAACAACAACAGCAAUGAGGCAGCCGUCAAUAGCAAAGUUAAUGCCGAGCUGCCAACGAAACUGGGACAUCCAGUUGUCACUGGUGUCGCUAAUCCUGGCAAUAAUCCCUGGGAGCAUUCGUAUAUGCAACAGCAGUUGGCAACGCUAACGCCGUCCAGCAAGAAUCCCAGUCGAUCGACCAUGUCGACCAUUUUACCCGCAACAGCUGAUACCUCAUUUUAUGAUAAGAAACCGCCGAGUAAUGUUAAUAUUGAUCUGGAGCUGGUCAAGCCCUUGACCGAUAAUGCCGCCAAUUCAGAUGCCAUUUUUAGGUCCAACAAUAACAACAACAACAACAGUGGCCACAACACUAGCAACAACAGCAGCAACAACAACAACAACAAUAGUUCAUUGCUACUCUGGGGUAAUCCCAAUAAAGAUUCGGCCAAUUUUGUGCGUUCCGACUCGAUAUUGGAUGACGAUGCUUCGACCUAUGAUGUGCCCACCGGCUCCUCGAUGCAUAGUCGCUAUGGUCCCAUUUGUCCCAAGCGCACCACGAGCAAUUGGAACAAUUGGUUAAUGGAGAACGAUCCAAAGAGCGACAAGAGCACCACGUCCGGAGAGCUAGGCUAUGUGGCAACCUUCAAUGACAGGCUGAAACCCGAGCACAAUGACAAUGUCAAUCCAAAUGCCAAUAAGAACUCUGCCGGACGUGAAAGUGUGUUUAUCUGGAACAGCGAUUUGAAUGCGAAUGCGACAAGUCCGUCGGGCAAUUAUUGGAGCAACAGCAGCGAUCCGGCAGGAAGUGGAACCACAACGCUAUCGUCCCACAGUGAAAGACUGAAGCAUCAUCAGUUGCUGGAUAGGAAGCCGCAGUUGUUGUCGGAGGAUAGUUUUGAGGGUGGCAUCGAUAGCGGUAUGAUGAUAGAGUUGGAAAAGAAUCUGGUUGAUAUUGUUGAAGUCUGGUCGAAUCCAGAUGAUAGCGGCAUUAAAUUGGAUUGAGGCAGUUGGUGAAACCAGGUUGAGAGUGGAAACAUAAUGCAAUCAUUUUACAGAUGUCCUUUUGAGGGACACUUUAGAGGGAAUCACAAAGUCCCCGAUUCUCCGAAUUAUUUUUUUUGCUAGUAUGAAGCAGUCAAUGUUAACUGAUUAAAGACAACUCGAGAGUAAAGAUAUGUGUGUCUGAAAAUUGUACUAGAAUUGAAAUGCCAAAAUGCUACUACCAUCUGUAAUUGUAAGACCCCAACUACAUAAUGCUGAUAAUGUAUGUAGUCUCUCAGUGGGUCGAUUCGUGAUUUUUACUAUAUAAAUAUAUAUAUAUAUGGGCAUAUAUAAGCAGAAAUGCUGAUCCGAUUGAAAGCUAAAAACAAUAUUUUGUGUGUGUUUAAAUAUUAUAUAUACUAUAUCUUUUUUUUGUAUAAUUUUUAAAUUAUUAACUAUUUCAAAAUCGAAACGCUAUUUUUAUAUACACUAAAGAGAAGAUAAAAAAGAUGAAAAACAAAAGAAGAUAAAAAAGAUAACAUAUAUAUGUAUAUGUACUAAGAAGUUGGGGUAAAAGUGUGGCCCGCACCUUGGGAGGGACCCACAUACGUUUGAUAAUUUAUAUAUGUAUGUGGAUGAAUGUUUAUAUUUCUUAAAGAAAUUUUAAUAACGCUAUUGUGCGAUGUUGUUAACUAUUGUACUAUAUUAUUAAAUUUAUUGAAAAUAAAUUAAAAUCAUGUCCCUUUUCGUUGUACUCGUUAACUGUGAAGCGAUGACAAGAUAAAAAAAAGGCUUCUAAACAAUUGCAUACAUACAUAACCCUACUAAAUAUAGAUACUACAAAAAUAUAUAUACAUAUAUAUAUAUAUGUAUUUGUAUAUGUAUGUAUGUAUAUACGUAUGUAAUACAUGCGUUAAAUAUUUUAAUUGAUAUAUUAAUAUUAUAUAUUAAUGUCAGAUGAUCCCCCGUUUGCUUUCGAUUCAAAUGCAAUCUAACAAAGGAUUUUGUAAUAUUUAAGCAAAAGUCAAGAACCUAUAAUACCUAACAUUAUAAAGAGAUAGAGAAAGAAAAAGAAUAUGUUGCGAUCGUUUGUGCACAUAAUUACUAAAACGGAUUGAUCAUUAAAAAUGAAUUAAAUGUGUUUGUUAUACCGAAAAAUCUUUGUAAUUGUAAAUUUAUUUCUCAGUUGUUAAUGGGAAUCCGAAACAUGCGACAGAGUUUAGUUAAUGAAAUCAAUACAUUGUAAAAAAUAUAUGUAUUUCCUAUAUUAUAUAUAAAUUCAGUAACUGAUGCAUUAAAUGUAUGUAAUACCUAUGUAUACUUAAGUAUAAAAAAAAAAACAAAAACUAAUUAACAAUUAAAAAGUGCGAAUGAGAUUUGUAAUAUGUAUUUGUAAACUGAUUUUGAGUUGAUCAAGUUACGCUCAUUUGCCACGCCCACACCCAUGCCCACACCUCAAUCAAUUAAACAAACAAACAAACAAUCAAUCAAUCAUCCAUCAAUCCUUAAUCCGCAACGUACCCUGCGUACUUAAAGACACCACUCGGUUUUGGGCAUACUGAAUGUGGUGCAGUUUUAGUCUAAACCCAAUGGGUUCAUAACUGUCGUUGUUGAGUUGAGUUUUGUAAUUUUAUAAUUAUUAAAUUGUAUAACAUGAAAAUAGGUAUGAUUGAAAAUAAUUGCAUCUUCUAGCAGAGGCUAGAAUUAAAUGAUUAAAACAAAUACUGAUCCGUUUCGUUGCCAAGAGCACAGCAUCUAAAUUUUAUCUAUCUAUAAAAGUAUACAAAUAUUUUAUUUAUAUUGUAUGUAUUACACGUAUUUUUUGUAUUAUUACUAAAUGUUAAUCUUAAGCAAUUUUCGAGUUCUGUUAACCCUAAAACAACAAUUUUAUUUAUUUUAUUUUUGCCAAUAAAUUUCAUUUCAA